GAAUUCCUAGUAAGCGCUAGUCAUCAGAUCGCGUUGACUACGUCCCUGCCCUUUGUACACACCGCCCGUCGCUCCUACCGAUUGAAUGGUCCGGUGAAGUUUUCGGAUUGCGGCGAUGCCGGCGGUUCGCCGCCGGUGACGUUGGGAGAAGUUCAUUAAACCUUAUCAUUUAGAGGAAGGAGAAGUCGUAACAAGGUUUCCGUAGGUGAACCUGCGGAAGGAUCAUUG
RNAcentral lists this ribosomal RNA (228 nucleotides) under Physcomitrium patens. RNAcentral's name for it is "Physcomitrella patens 18S ribosomal RNA". It matches the Rfam family "Eukaryotic small subunit ribosomal RNA", at positions 1608 to 1831 of the family's 1831-position model. The record is from RNAcentral. Lineage: Eukaryota; Viridiplantae; Streptophyta; Bryopsida; Funariales; Funariaceae.